This 497-nucleotide ribosomal RNA is filed under the name uncultured bacterium. RNAcentral's name for it is "partial 16S ribosomal RNA". It matches the Rfam family "Bacterial small subunit ribosomal RNA", at positions 28 to 507 of the family's 1533-position model. The record is from RNAcentral.
GAUGAACGCUGGCGGCGUGCCUAAUACAUGCAAGUAGAACGCUGAAGGAAGAAGCUUGCUCUUUCCGGAUGAGUUGCGAACGGGUGAGUAACGCGUAGGUAACCUGCCUGGUUGCGGGGGAUAACUAUUGGAAACGAUAGCUACUACCACAUAACAGUAGCUGUUGCAUGAUACCUACUUAAAACGUGCAAUUGCACCACUACCAGAUGGACCUGCGUUUUAUUAGCUAGUUGGUGAGGUAACGGCUCACCAAGGCGACGAUACAUAGCCGACCUGAGAGGGUGGUCCGCCAAAAUGGGACUGGAGAAAGGCCCAGGCUCCUUCGGGGGGGAGCAGUAGGGAAACUUCGGCAAUGGACGGAAGUCUGGCCGAACAACGCCGCGUGAGUGAAGAAGGUUUUCGGAUCGUAAAGCUCUGCUGUAAGAGAAGAAAGAGUGUGAGAGUGGAAAGUUCACGCUGUGACGGUAUCUAAACAGAAAGAGACGGCUAACUACGUG